Ornithorhynchus anatinus (platypus) is the source of this 138-nucleotide small nucleolar RNA. Lineage: Eukaryota; Metazoa; Chordata; Mammalia; Monotremata; Ornithorhynchidae. The record is from RefSeq and is a predicted model, not a curated record.
ACCUUCUCAGGAUCGCACCUAGAGAGUUUCCAGGACUCUGCUAGUCUCGGCUAUGGGAGGUAGGGUCAAGCAGAGACAUAUCCAUUCCAUUUCUAGCUUGAGCAGUGGCUAGCGAGUGGAAGGCAAUCUGCUACAAGU